This is a long non-coding RNA of Camarhynchus parvulus, 314 nucleotides long. The record is from Ensembl. NCBI's taxonomy places the organism in Eukaryota, Metazoa, Chordata, Aves, Passeriformes, Thraupidae.
UGCUGGUGGGUUCCAUUUCACAAGGAUUAAAAUGUAUUUGCAGACAAAACCCCCGGAGGUAACCUGAGACAGAGAUUGCUACGUGACCUGGGAGCUGCCAAAAACAAAUGCCAAGACCGUCAGCUCAUUCCCAGGGCUGGGAACGAGGGACUCACCUGACAAGCCAAGCUCAGGUGGUCUAGGAGCCGAGGCUGGCUGUGCUGGACCCUUCACCAUGUGAACAUGCCCAGGCUCCAAUGCCUCAGCACAGCCCCAUGUCGGAGCAGCCCUGGACCUGCAGAACGGCACAUGGCAGAGUGGCAGUGAGCCCCUAG